AAUUAUUAUUAGAUUUUUAAAUAAUUAUUCACGAAAUAAAUUGAGCUAAAUUUUUGGUAUUUUUGGAAAUUAUAACUAUAUGUUACAAAAUAUAUUAACUAAAUAGAUUUAGGGGUGAAAGGCCUAUCAAAUUUUAUGAUAUCUUGAAGUAUAUAAAAUAUAUCAAGUAUUUCUAAUUCAACUAUUGAAUGUUUAGGUUCAAUAGUAACAUUAUAUUUUUUAAAAAAUUGUUCAAUUUUUUUAAGUAAAAUUGAGUUAGAGCAUAAAAUAUACAUCAAAUUUUUAUUAUAUGAAUAUAAAUAUACUACGGUUAUUAAUAAAUAUAAUCAUAUAUAAUGUAAUUAUUAGUAAUAGUUUAUUAAACUAUAUAAAGGAAUUCGGCAAGAAAAUUUUUCACCUGUUUAUCAAAAACAUAGCUUAUUGAAUAUCAUAAUAAGUAACCCCUGCUCAAUGGAAAUCUAAAUAGCCGCAGUACCUUGACUGUGCAAAGGUAGCAUAAUCAAUUGGCUUAUAAUUGAAGUCUGGAAUGAAUGGGUAAUCUGGAAAAUAACUGUCUUUAUUUUGUAGUAUUUUGAAUUUACUUAUAAAGUGAAAAUACUUUAAUAUAAAUAUAAGACGAGAAGACCCUAGAAAUUUUUUGUUAAUAACUUUUGUUGGGGCGACAGGGUAACAUAUAAACUUACUUACAUUUAUAUAAAUCUUAUAAGGUACGUAACUAAAUUACUCUAGGGAUAACAGCAUAAUAUAUAAAAGUUUAUGACCUCGAUGUUGGACUAGGUAAUUAAAUAUUUAAAAGAUAUCUUUAAUUUGCUCUGUUCGAGCAGUAUCACCUACAU
This 836-nucleotide ribosomal RNA is filed under the name Perforatella incarnata. RNAcentral's name for it is "Monachoides incarnatus partial large subunit ribosomal RNA". The record is from RNAcentral. Lineage: Eukaryota; Metazoa; Mollusca; Gastropoda; Stylommatophora; Hygromiidae.